AGAUACUGCUCUUUUGUAUUUAUUUUUCAGGUUUGUGUCGGUGACAGUACUAGUGGUGAUACAGAUUUGACUGAAGAUGUUAACUUGUUUGCUGUUGAGAAAAGUGACUUUUAUUUGAACUUUGAGCAUCAUAAAUAUAUUCCCGUAAAUGACAGAAUUCGCUGCAUAGAAUCUUAAUGUUAACUAUGAAAUUUUAGGUUUUUGGAUAAUACAGACUACACUUGUGUAUCCCACGGUGUUUUCUAAAUUAAAGCACCAGU
Molecule: long non-coding RNA, 260 nt
Filed under: Mytilus galloprovincialis (Mediterranean mussel)
Lineage: Eukaryota; Metazoa; Mollusca; Bivalvia; Mytilida; Mytilidae
Source: RNAcentral